Molecule: ribosomal RNA, 641 nt
Filed under: Paenibacillus lautus
Lineage: Bacteria; Bacillati; Bacillota; Bacilli; Caryophanales; Paenibacillaceae
Description: bacterial SSU rRNA
Rfam family: Bacterial small subunit ribosomal RNA
Source: RNAcentral
UUAACACGUAAGCAACCUGCCCUCACGACUGGGAUAACUACCGGAAACGGUUGGGAUACCGGAUAAUUUAUUUCAGAUCAUUGUGGAAUAAUGAAAGACGGAGCAGUCUGUCACUUGGGGAUGGGCCUGCGGCGCAUUAUCUACUUGGUGGGGUAAUGGCUCACCAAGGACAAAAUGCGUACCCGACCUGAGAGGGUGAACGGCCACACUGGGACUGAGACAUGCCCAGACUCCUACGGGAGGCAGCAGUAGGGAAUCUUCCGCAAUGGGCGAAAGCCUGACGGAGCAACGCCGCGUGAGUGAUGAAGGUUUUCGGAUCGUAAAGCUCUGUUGCCAAGGAAGAACGUCUUCUAUAGUAACUGCUAGGAUAGUGACGGUACUUGUUAAGAAAGCCCCGGCUAACUACGUGCCAUCAGCGCGGUAGUACGUAAGGGGCAAGCGUUGUCCGGAAUUAUUGGGCGUAAAGCGCGCGCAGGCGGUUCUUUAAGUCUGGUGUUUAAACCCGAGGCUCAACUUCAGGUCGCACUGGAAACUGGAGGACUUGAGUGCAGAGGAGGACAGUGGAAUUCCACUUGUACCGAUGAAAUGCGUAGAUAUGUGCAGGAACACCAAUGGCCAAUGCUACUCUCUGGGCUGUAACU